RNA transcript from Oryza sativa Japonica Group (Japanese rice), 2520 nucleotides. RefSeq lists it as uncharacterized. The record is from RefSeq and is a predicted model, not a curated record. NCBI's taxonomy places the organism in Eukaryota, Viridiplantae, Streptophyta, Magnoliopsida, Poales, Poaceae.
ACGUAUUGCUCUGUUUCUUCGGUAAUCUCAAGUCUGAAUAUCCUCCGAUAUGACAUUCCCUCACGGCGGCGUCGGGGCGGAUGGCGCGUUCGAGCCGACGCCGUUGUCUUCCCUCCCCCCUUUUCUCCCUCUCCUCUCCCUCCUACCUCACCUUGUGGCAGCGCCGCCGGGGGCAGGACGGACGAGGCGCCCGUCGGAGCCGGCACAGGUGCUCCCUUCCUCCUUCUCCCUUCACUUGCGCCGGCGGCGGCGGUUGCGACGAGGGAGGACAGAUGCGGCGCCCGUCGUUGGUGUUGCCGCCGACCCGCCGUGUCCCCUCCCUUCUUCUCCCUCCCCUUCUGGCAGCGGCGGCGAGGGACCUGCAGUGGCGGCAGCCUUCUCCGCUCGUCUCUCUCCUAUCCGUCUCCUACAGUCGUCGUCCUCCGGCCACCGCCGUCCUCUGCCAGCACCUCCUCCGGCCCCCUCCACUCUGCCCAUCCGCUCCACUCUUCCCUCCUACCCAAAUCUACGGCGCCGCUCCGUGGUCGGCAGCUCAAUUCCUCGCCGGAUCUGACAGUUUGACCGGUGGAGAAGGAAGAAGCGGGCGGCCCGCGAGGAUGGAGGAAGCGGAUUGGCAGAAGUUGGCCGUUGAGAUCUCCGUCAAACCUGUCCCCUUCAAGCAUCCGGGUCCGACAUCCUCUGCGCAUGGUCUGUGACAGCUUGGUAUAAUGAAGAAUUAGAAAGGAUUCAGUUCUCUCCUUCCUGUUCUAUUCUUUCAGCAAUGGUUCAGGUCAACAAAAAAAUUUUGGUCGAGCAACAAAGGUUCAGUUCUUAUCCUUCCAGUUCUCCUUUUGUCUUGAAUGUUCUUGAAGAAGCUAUAAGUGGAACAGAUACAUUGAGAUCGCUCCCAGUUGGAUCAUCAGCAGCAGGAAAGGUUCCGCCACUACCAGUGUUAUGAUCUUGUUUAUAAUGGGAUGGCUACCACAUAUAUUUUUCUAUUUAUAGGUUGACAAGAAAUGUGCUCUUUUUUUUAUGGUGUAACAAUAAGUGAAGAACAAGCUCGGUCAGGCAUUGUAGUCAGAGUCACCUCAGCCGCACAAAGUAAAUUUAAGAUAUGAGCUACUUUUCUUCGAACAAGAAAUUGAUGGAGGUUAUGGACUAGCUCCGCAGGCAUCCAAGCUGAGGUGAAUCACAUGAGACAAAAUGGCAGUCUUGCUUUCAAUGAAAGCCUUGUUGCUGGUAUAUUUCUUCAUUUUGCCAGUGCAAGACCCACACUGGUCUUCCAGACCACGGAAUGGUAGUGCAUCAAUAGGGCUGCAGCAGGGUGACACACCAGCACCACGGUUAUUGGAUUCAGGAGUUUGCCAAGAAGCAGCAAUUAAAUGAUUAGCUUCCACCUUUAAUUUUGCUGGCAGGUGUUAUCCCAGGCUUCAUGGACAACUCCGUCGCCUUGAGGAAAUGAGCCUCCUCCAUCCCUCCAUAUGUAUUUCCUCCUCUGCUCUGUACUGCUUUGCUCUGCCUCAUGCUUGCUGUCAUGUGGAUGUGCUGCUGCUGACCAAUACUAGCUUAUUGCAGUUUUCCUUUUUUGUUCAGGCCAUUGCAUUGCCUCUGAAUCUUACUUUUUUUGCGGGGCCUCUGAAUCUUACUUACUUUUCAGUGCUAUAUACAGAUUCAGUUACAGGACACAUAGUUCCUGGAGAUGAAACAAGGUGUUUAGUGCGUAUUACAUUUACCAUUUAGGAUUUACAUAGCAUCAUUCACACCUGAUUAGCAUAAGUUCCAGAUAAUAUUUUAUUAUCCCCUUUGAUGUUUAAGAUGGUUGCCUCUUCAGUAUCACAUCUGGAUCCAUAGCAAUUUCAUUUCUAUCGCUUUACUUCUCCGUGCAGGGAAAAUAGACUGCACCAAGCAUCAGUUAACGUACAUUCAGCAUAAGAGAGUUAAGCCCACUACCUAGCCGGCUCUUUGUUGCCAACUUAUUGUGACUACUUUCGAUUUUGGUGCAGUAGUUUUGGUUAGUGACUAUUAUAUCAUUUUUUCUUAAAAUAAGGUCCCACAUUAUGGCUAGGUGUUGCCGCGAGGGUUGUGAAUGUUCUUUACUUCUGAUAAAAGUGAAGUGAUAUUUGUGUAGGUGAUGACAAAAGCUACAAUUAUUCAGGGCUGUCAUUCUCUCCUGCAGGACCAAAGCUGCCAUUCAUACUGCUGUGCUUUUGUUGUGGAUUGAACUAGCAGGAGAGAAGAAUGCACAUGAACUUAUAAAUGGACCAUUUCCGGUAGCCACGAGUUCUCACUAGAAAAAGGCAGCUACUUUAUUUGUCCUGUAUAUUAGUAUAUUGUUUAUUAAUCAAUGUAAAUGAUCACUGACGGAGUACAUGUAUAUGCAUUAAUCACCUAAUCGUUCUGUAAUAUUUUCUGUUUAAUUUUUUUUGCUGCGCGGCGUAGCGCGCAAACCCUUUCUAGUAAUAGUAAUGUUAACUUUGAUUACUGGAUAUAUGUGGCAUUGAUGAAAGGUGGAGAUAUGGGAUCAUGAUCUAAAAAUUGAAA